AUUGAACGCUGGCGGCAGGCCUAACACAUGCAAGUCGAGCGGAUGAAGGGAGCUUGCUCCUGGAUUCAGCGGCGGACGGGUGAGUAAUGCCUAGGAAUCUGCCUGGUAGUGGGGGAUAACGUCCGGAAACGGGCGCUAAUACCGCAUACGUCCUGAGGGAGAAAGUGGGGGAUCUUCGGACCUCACGCUAUCAGAUGAGCCUAGGUCGGAUUAGCUAGUUGGUGGGGUAAAGGCCUACCAAGGCGACGAUCCGUAACUGGUCUGAGAGGAUGAUCAGUCACACUGGAACUGAGACAGGGUCCAGACUCCUACGGGAGGCAGCAGUGGGGAAUAUUGGACAAUGGGCGAGAGCCUGAUCCAGUCAUGCCGCGUGUGUGAAGAAGGUCUUCGGAUUGUAAAGCACUUUAAGUUGGGAGGAAGGGCAGUAAGUUAAUACCUUGCUGUUUUGACGUUACCAACAGAAUAAGCACCGGCUAACUUCGUG
RNAcentral lists this ribosomal RNA (484 nucleotides) under uncultured bacterium. RNAcentral's name for it is "partial 16S ribosomal RNA". It matches the Rfam family "Bacterial small subunit ribosomal RNA", at positions 30 to 507 of the family's 1533-position model. The record is from RNAcentral.